UACGGAGGGUGCGAGCGUUGUCCGGAAUCACUGGGCGUAAAGGGCGCGUAGGCGGCCCGGUAAGUAGGGGGUGAAAUCCUGCGGCUUAACCGCAGGGCUGCCUUCUAAACUGUCGGGCUGGAGCACGGUAGAGGCAGAUGGAAUUCCCGGUGUAGCGGUGGAAUGCGUAGAGAUCGGGAGGAACACCGGUGGCGAAGGCGCUCAUCUGGCCCAAUACUGACGCUGAGGCGCGAAAGCUAGGGGAGCAAACGGG
This 253-nucleotide ribosomal RNA is filed under the name uncultured bacterium. Its description in RNAcentral is "partial 16S ribosomal RNA". It matches the Rfam family "Bacterial small subunit ribosomal RNA", at positions 524 to 776 of the family's 1533-position model. The record is from RNAcentral.